ACGGGAGGCAGCAGUGGGGAAUAUUGCACAAUGGGGGAAACCCUGAUGCAGCGACGCCGCGUGAGUGAAGAAGUAUUUCGGUAUGUAAAGCUCUAUCAGCAGGGAAGACAGUGACGGUACCUGACUAAGAAGCCCCGGCUAACUACGUGCCAGCAGCCGCGGUAAUACGUAGGGGGCAAGCGUUAUCCGGAUUUACUGGGUGUAAAGGGAGCGUAGACGGCGGUGCAAGUCUGAUGUGAAAGCCCGGGGCUCAACCCCGGUACUGCAUUGGAAACUGUACUGCUAGAGUGCAGGAGAGGUAAGUGGAAUUCCUAGUGUAGCGGUGAAAUGCGUAGAUAUUAGGAGGAACACCAGUGGCGAAGGCGGCUUACUGGACUGUAACUGACGUUGAGGCUCGAAAGCGUGGGGAGCGAACAGGAUUAGAUACCCUGGUA
RNAcentral lists this ribosomal RNA (434 nucleotides) under uncultured Clostridium sp. RNAcentral's name for it is "partial 16S ribosomal RNA". It matches the Rfam family "Bacterial small subunit ribosomal RNA", at positions 341 to 792 of the family's 1533-position model. Lineage: Bacteria; Bacillati; Bacillota; Clostridia; Eubacteriales; Clostridiaceae. The record is from RNAcentral.